AUUGAACGCUGGCGGCAGGCUUAACACGUGCAAGUCGAGCGGGGUGAUGGUGCUUGCACUAUCACUUAGCGGCGGACGGGUGAGUAAUGCUUAGGAAUCUGCCUAUUAGCGGGGGACAACAUCUCGAAAGGGAUGCUAAUACCGCAUACGUCCUACGGGAGAAAGCAGGGGAUCACUUGUGACCUUGCGCUAAUAGAUGAGCCUAAGUCGGAUUAGCUAGGUGGUGGGGUAAAGGCCUACCAAGGCGACGAUCUGUAGCGGGUCUGAGAGGAUGAUCCGCCACACUGGGACUGAGACACGGCCCAGACUCCUACGGGAGGCAGCAGUGGGGAAUAUUGGACAAUGGGGGGAACCCUGAUCCAGCCAUGCCGCGUGUGUGAAGAAGGCCUUAUGGUUGUAAAGCACUUUAAGCGAGGAGGAGGCUCUUUUGGUUAAUACCCAAGAUGAGUGGACGUUACUCGCAGAAUAAGCACCGGCUAACUCUGUGCCAGCCGCCGCUGUAA
This 503-nucleotide ribosomal RNA is filed under the name uncultured bacterium. Its description in RNAcentral is "partial 16S ribosomal RNA". It matches the Rfam family "Bacterial small subunit ribosomal RNA", at positions 30 to 523 of the family's 1533-position model. The record is from RNAcentral.